ACUUUGGUAUGCUUUUUUUGCUCCUUUUCUUUUUUAAAGGCCAUUUACGUUAUGAUUAAAUGCAUCUUGGAAAAGCAGAACGAAAGUCGUUAAUCUAUAUAGAUCUUCAAAGAAUCGAUACAUUCGGGACUUCUGUAGGAUUUGUUACACUCCAUUUUGUUACAGUAGGCAGCUCGUCUGGAUUUGGGCACAUGUGUUUCUCUCCCUCCCCUCGCCCCCCCCCUUCUUCCAGCUUCCCCCCCAAGAGUGAAAAUAAAGUAAAAGGUCUUUCAUGGUAAACAAAACCAGCUUAUUCUCCACAUAGAACACAUGAAUAGCUGGAAAAAAAACUUACAAUAAAUGGUGCAUUUUUUUCUCUGCUGGGUAUAGCAUUCAAGAUCAGUCCAGUAUUCAAGAAGCAGUCCAUUUUUUGCUCAGCAAGAGAGUUUAGAAAAGAAGCGUGGGGUCUAUUCAAGGAUCUUUUCCCCCUUCACAAUUGCUGGGCUUUAUGAAACCUAUCUUCCAUGCCUUGUCAGAGUAUUUCUGGGGACCAAUUAGUGCUUUGUUGCAAGGCUUCUUUGCUGAAUCUUUGAGCAGCAAGAAAAAGCUCUCUUGAGUCUCCCCUUAUUUUGACUAUUUCAGUCAUUACUCAGUGUAAUAAUUAAUAUGACAACUGGACGCUGAAGUUUGUAUAGAAACACCUCGGCUGCAGGAGAGAGCGUGCAGUGGGUGGUAACAAGCUACAGAUCAGACCGAGAAGCCACACACACAAGAAAAAAAAAAGAAAGAAAAAGCAGAGAGGGAGAGAGAGGGAGAGAGAAUAAUGAAUGAAAAGAAAGAGAGAAAGAAUGAAGAUAAAUAAAUAGUUGGCACAACCCGAAGAAACAUAAUACAGACUUGGAAGGGAAAAAAAAGGCAAUUAGGAGAAGGGGAGGGGGGACUCCAGAGAGGUAAACUUAUUUUGAAACACUUUCUAUAUGCAUAAAAUUUCCAAAACUUUGCUACUCUCGGGACUCAGGAAAUCGAUUUUUUUUCCUUGGCGACUGUUCCUUAGAGUGUUUUUUUGUUUUGUUUUGUUUUGUUUUUUUAAUGGAGCAUCUGCCAACGCUUUUGCAUACUUGAUGAACUUUGACGUCUCUUCCUAAGCGUCACUUGAGAGAAGUAAGGUCUUCAAGUAUUAAAGCUUGAAGGAGGAAUAAAGUCUGCGUCCCAAAUGAAGAAUUAAAAAUCACGUUUGAUCGGGGACACCGCUGAAUUCUCCUCGAAACGCGCCUUGGGAUGAACACUCAUCACUUCGGAGAUAUUUCUUGGGCUGCCAAUUAGGGCAUAAUAAAUAAUUAGAGGUUUUAA
Molecule: long non-coding RNA, 1329 nt
Organism: Dromaius novaehollandiae (emu)
Lineage: Eukaryota; Metazoa; Chordata; Aves; Casuariiformes; Dromaiidae
Exons: 2
Source: RefSeq, a predicted model, not a curated record